CACGACAUCGGAGACGAGCAGCGCCAAGCAGGAGCGGCCGCUUCCGCGCCAUCUUCAGAGGCGUCAGCAGCGGCACCGCCGGCGGGCACAAGUAGCACGAGCACCAGUACGCCAGGUUCCCGUUCAUCAGUUACAAAGAAGCGGUACAGGAACACAGGUGAUUUAGAAAUUGGUUUGUGUUAGAUAACGAGUAGAAAAAUGGAUUAAUGAUUACUCACUAGUCAAUCAAUUGCACAUUUUUUAGAUUUGAAGAGUUUCUUCAGUAGCAAUUUAUCAAGUGGUUCAGCCCCAAGUACCCAUCAGAGUGAGAAUGCUGCUGUAGUUUCUGAAGAAGUGCUGGCUGAAGCUGUACCAGUAGAAGUUGAACCACCCGGAGAUGCUGAAAUGGGAGAUGUAGAAGCAGAUGGUUAACUUAUUCAGGUUGUUGACUCAAAUGCUCAUGUUGUUUCUGAUCCAGGACUUCGAAUACCUAUUGAGAGAUUUCAUCCUAAUAUUAGAGGUGAUGUUCAGAGAGCUUAUUUGUUAAAGGGACCAACCAAACCUUUUGGUCAUAAUUUUCCUCGCAGAUCAAAUGAUAAUAGGGCAUUUUAGAAUCAUGGCUGAAGACAUAUGAUUGGAUUGAAUACAGUGUGGCAAAGGAUGCAGCAUUUUGCUUCUACUGCUUUCUUUUUAAGCAAGAACCUAUUGAUAAAAAAUUUGGACAUGAUGCUUUCACCAAAGCAGGGUAUACAAAUUGGAAAAAUGCAUACCAUGGACUUCUUCAUGUUGGUGGGCCAAUAAGUUUUCACAACAGAGCAAGGGCAGCAAGCGUAGAUUUUAGGAAUGCAAAGGCAAGUGUCACACAUAAGGUUGAAACUCACAGCAAAGAUGCACAAGUGCGAUAUGAAACUCGUGUUACAACAGCUUUAGGUAUUGCUAGUUUUCUCAUUGCACAAGGCCUUUCAUUCCGUGGACAUGAUGAAACUAUUGCUUCCUUAAAUAGAGGAAAUAUUUUAGAGAAGGUUGAGUGGUACAAGAUAAGGGAUGAGGAGGUAAGGGUUGCAUUUGAGGAGCUGUGUCCAUUAAAUGCCCAAAUGAUUUCUCCCAAGAUUCAAAAGGACAUAUGUGAAAGUUAUGCAAUGGAGAUCAGCAAUGUGAUAAAGAAGGAGAUUGGUGAUAAAUGUUUCUCCGUUCUAAUUGAUGAAUCCCGUGAUGUGUCAAUAGCGGAACAAAUGGCUGUCAUUGUAAGGUUUGUGAACAACAAAGGAAUGGUUGUGGAAAGGUUUUUGGGUCUUCAACAUGUGCCAGAUACAACAUCAAAUGCAUUGAAGAAAGCUUUGGUUCAGAUGCUUGCCAAGUAUGAUUUACCUAUUGCAAGACUAAGAGGACAAGGGUACGAUGGAGCUUCAAAUAUGAGAGGUCAAUUCAACGGUCUGCAAAAUAAAAUUCGUGAUGAGAACCCAUAUGCCUUCUAUAUCCAUUGCUUUGCUCACCAGCUGCAGUUGGUUAUUGUUUCUGUUACAAUUUGCUGCUCAUCUUUCAAUGAUUUCUUCACCUAUGUGAGUAUGAUUGCAACCAGCGUUGGUUCAUCUUGCCAAAGGAAGGAUAAGCUGAUUUCAAAGCAUUGUGACACAAUUCUGCAGCAAUUGGAGAGUGGUGAGAUUUUUUCAGGAAAGGGAAAGAAUCAAAUGACUAGCUUGGUUAGACCUGGAGAUACAAGAUGGGGUCUCAUUUCAUUGAGUUAAUGUGGGAUUCUGUGGUCCGAGUGCUGUCCAUGAUUCAUGAAGAUGAGCGUAAUCCUGGUUCAGCAGGUGGUCUGGUGGAAAAAAUGGAGAGUUUUUCUUUUGUUCUAAAUCUGAAAUUGAUGCUGAAAGUGUUCCGUAUCACAAAUGAGUUGUCUCAACUACUCCAAAGGAAGGAUCAAAAUAUUGUCCAGGCUAUGUCAUUGCUAAUUGAUGUGAAAAUUGGUUUGACUAAAUUGAGAAAUGAAGGAUGGGAGCCGUUAUUUGAAGAAGUCAAAACAUUUUGUGUUGCAAAAGAGAUUCCAGUACCAAAUUUGAAUGAGAGAGUACCAAAAUGGGGGCGAACAAGGCUUGAUAAGAACUUAACCACUCUAGAUCAUCAUUUUCGUGUUGAUACUUUCCUUGCUGCACUUGAUGCUAUACUGACAGAGAUGGAUCAUCGCUUCAAUGAGGCAUCAUCAGAGUUACUUUGUUUGCUUUGCUUGUUUAGAUCCAAGAGACAACUUCUCAAAGUUUGAUGUUGAUAAGAUUUCUCGUCUAACGGAGAUCUAUGAUCAAGAUUUCUCAACUGUUGACCGUUCAAAUAUCAAGGAUCAACUUGAGACAUUCCUUCUCCAUGUGCAAAGAGUUGAAGAGUUCAAUACUUGUACAGAUCUUGGAAGUUUGGCAACGACGAUGGUUGAAGCUAAAAUGCAUACAGCUUUUUCAUUGGUAUAUCACCUUGUUGAGUUAGCAUUUCUCCUUUCUGUAGCAACGGCAUCCGUUGAAAGAGCGUUCUCAGCUAUGAAUAUGAUCAAGACUGAUUUGCGCAAUAGCAUGUCUGAUGAGUGGCUCAAUGACUUAAUUUGUGCUACAUUGAGAAGGAGAUCUUUGUAGGACUUGAUUUUGAAAAGGUUAAGAAAAGAUUCCAGUCUAUGAAAGAUCGGAGGAUGCAAUUUCCUAAGCCUCCUAGAGGAUCUAGUCAUGCUUAGUGAGUGGUUUUUAGUGGUCGUAUGUUUGUUUUUUUAUCAUGUUCACCAACUGUCCAACUUUGAUGCAAUAUGCAUAUUCUAUAUUCACUUUGUUAAGGUCUUAUGUGUGGGUGUAUGUGGUAUAUAGCUUUCGCUGGUUGAAGCUUGUGUUAGGUUGUCCGCCCUACCUACAUUUUUUUUCCUAGGUUCGCCACUGUCUGGUUCUCCACUUUGCCCCUCUUAGACUAUGUCCAACAUUCUCACUUAAUCAGACACUCUAUAUCUCUAUUUAGUUAUCCCCAUAAAAUUCAUCUCUAUAUUUUCAACAGUUACAUUGUUAUAUAUCUCUGAAGGGUUCUUAUUUUAACCGUUAAAAUUCAAACAACAAAAGUAGCAACAGCUUGAACCGGCAUGGUUCGUACAACAAAGUAAAUCACACAACUUGUUUGUUCAAAGAAGGCCACAUCACCUAAUUAAACGUGAUUUAAUUAUUUGGCUUAAAGAAGGCCUAGCACAUCCCAGACCAAUUGCAAAUGUAGCAAUCAGCUUGAACAGGUAUUUCAUCGAACAACUAAAGUGCAUGCAGUAGUAGCUCUGACCACGAGCAGCACCAAGUAGCCAAGCAGAUAGCUAACACCACCGACUGACCACGAAGCAGCACCAAGCAGCCAAGCAGAGCUACCACCUCCGACACUAGCAAGCAAAUCACACCAAACAUCAAAUCAACACACCGUGGCAUAAAAAGGAGCUUAGAACAAACGCCAGAAUCGGACCUGCUAGGCAGGCCAUGACCAGGGAUGACGUGCGGCGACGGAGCAGCAAGGCCCGAGGCCGAAGAUGGCCGGCGCUCACCUGCCCUUUUGACAACACGCGAACGGCGGGGUGCGGCUGUGAGCGCUUCUCACCGCUGCCGUGCUGGUGCGUGGGAGGAUGCCAGCAGGGCCGGAAUCACGCAGAUGGGCGACAGUGCGCGGGAGGGCAGAAAUGGGGCUGAGCACCCGCGGAUCGGUUCGGCACGCUGAACGGUAGAAGACGGAUGAGACGGCGAUGGAGCUCUCGAAGAUGAGUAAUAGGCUACCCUCCAUGGACCUCUUUGCGUUGUGCGUUUGAGGAGCGCAAGUGAGUCGAGGGAUGGCCCCUGCAUCUGGUCCUCUGUCCUCCGUCGAGAGAUGGCGAUGGUGUAGAUUGAUGUUGAGUAGUUGACGUCUACUUCGGUGAUACGGGGAUUUGAUUACGUUAGGACGUGAGGUAACGUACGUACUCGGUUUUAUAAACGUAGAGUGAUGCUCCUUGGCCUCCUNNNNNNNNNNNNNNNNNNNNNNNNNNNNNNNNNNNNNNNNNNNNNNNNNNNNNNNNNNNNNNNNNNNNNNNNNNNNNNNNNNNNNNNNNNNNNNNNNNNNGGGGGGGGGGGGGGUGCCGAGCUCGAAACCAUGAGCCUCAGGCCGUCCGCGCCAUAUCCUCGUACAAGGAUGUGUGGGAUAGGUAGAGGCACAAUCACAAGGCAGCUGUGCACAGCGAAACACAGCAAGUUGAGCCGACCUUGCGGAAGCAGGCGCGGAACGAAGCUUCAGUGGCAGGCCGACCUUGCGGCCGAUGAAGACAGCAGACCGGACUCACGAAUUAAUCUGGCCAACAGCAGUGGAAAUUGGGAUGGUGCUGGAGGUCGAGCUCAGCGGGAGCUCGCGAUGAAGGCCGGCGCUCGCAAGAACUCAUGACGGAGGGCAGGGCUCAUGCUCUCAGGCAAGGGAGCCCGCAACCGAAGGCAAUGGGUAGGCCGACGAUUUUGGAAGAAGCAGAGGGGCCUGUUCGAGGAACAGGGACAUACGUGUAGCAAACGAGCUAAAAUUUACCUUCUUUGAGCUUAAGUGAAGUCAUUAGAGCUUAAUGGAACCAAUGAACAGCCUUGCACCCAAGUAAAAUGACCCCUUUUGCCCCUCACGAGCUAAACAUGUGUUUAAGCCAUAACUCAAUUUUUUUUCUUAAGAACUUAAAAAUCUGCCUAACUAAGAGUUGUAUAACUCACAAAUUCUAACAACUUUUGUAAUUAUCUUUUUGCUUGAAACUGAUCAGAAAAGGGUCAAAAUAUCGAAUUACAAAUCUGGGCCGAAAGGUGCAGAUCAAAUAAAGUCAGAACUUUGGAGCCCUUUUUCUCACAUUUUCGAAUGUAUGCUCAUGACAAACCUUUUAUGAAAGUUUUAGUGCUACGAGUCCUUAACAACUUUGAUUUUUGAGCAUAGGCCAAAAUCUGCACAGAAGGUUUUCAAAAACGAGGUCAAACGCAGCUAAAAUGGUCAACACUGUCAAAAAUGGCUGAAGUGUUCAAGUCUGAAAGUUUCGGAUUUUGCCAAACUUUGAAGCGUUUUAUCUUCAAUUCAGCUUCGAAUUUGAAAUCAAGACAAUUACAAGAAUUGAACUUAGAUCCUAGGCCUACAACUUUUGUAAAGGGAGUAGGGGUUGUGCAGUUCAAAAAUCUGGAGAAGAUCGCGCUCGAAGAUUGCCCUAUCGUCCGAUCCCGCAAAUCCCGCACCAGAGCUCACGCCGAGCACACGUGCGCCGCGCUCCCCUCACCGGCCGCCCCGUGGCACGUGCUCCUCGUCGCUGCCCCGUCGAGUUGCCCCCUGCCGCUGCUCUAUCCGCACGCGCCCUGCGACGCUCUGGCACGCCACCGCCGCCGUGCCCGCCAACGCACGCCCGAGACAAGACGCCACAGCUCCUCGGCCUCGCCUGCAGCGCCCUGAUGGAGCCGUUCACCCGUGCACGCCUGCUUCGCUUGCGGCGCCCGCCUGCAAGCACGCCCGCCAAGUCGCCUCCCCUAUCCGCCAAUGGUGCCCGCCGUGGCCGGUCCACCCCGCAGCAGCGUACUAGCGCCCCAUCCUCCAAACCACCCUCCUCAAGUCUCCUGCCUCCUUUCCAAGCCCCCGUGCCCUCCAACAGAAAGUUCUUGCCCCAAACCGGCAGCUCGAGAGGUUCCCGUUCCCUGACGAAAUCUGGCCAGCUCCCUCCGCCUCUGUCUAAUAGCCCACGCCUGAGGCUCCUCCACUUCCUCAGCCACACCCUCGGACACUCCUCGUCGCCUGCCUUCCAUCCCAUCGCCCGGAAUCCCACUUUCCCCAACUCCAGGAACUCCACCCGCCACCCCCACUGCCUCACCGCUGAACACCAUCUUCCAGUCAUCCUCGUCGUCAACCAACCACUCAAACGGAACCGCGGUAAGACACUGAUCAUCAUGCUCGCGCUCGAUUUCCUCUAGGGUCAACUUUCCGCGCUCGUUCCCGCUCAUGUCGACGGCAUUCCUCGCCGCCCGCGGAGCCCCUUCUGCGCCGCCGCGAUCCGCGUCUCUGGACCUGCUUCUGGGAGCCGUUGGCCCUGCUUCGCAGCCCCUCCUCGCCCCCAAGCCGCCCCGCUGCCCUCCCCCUACCGCCGCUGGCCCAAUCCCGAACGCCGGCCAAGCCUGUCUGUUUUGCUGUGCUGUGCGUUCUGUUCCAGAGGAAGAAGAAGGCCAGGGGUCUAGUUGCGAGUGGAAAAGAAAGUCAGGGGGUUAUGGGGAAAAUCGUGGGAUUUAUGUUUGAGGUGGGUUUUUGUCCAGGGGUGUAGGCGCAAGAUCCAGGGGCCUCUACGCAUUUAACCCAUAGACUGGAGGGCUAGAUUGGAAGAUUGCCUCGGUUUUCUUUUUUUUUCCUGGAUCUAAAAAGGCUGAAAGUUUAAAAAGGCAUAGAAAAGUGUAGAAAAAUGCUAAAAAUGCAAGAUAAAUUUUGUUAGACUCAAUAUUCUGUUUAGUUUCAUAUAAAAAUAAGUUUACACAUGUCUCUGUUAGAAUUAAUGUUAUAUGAUUUAAUCCUUGUUUAAGCUAGUUUAAAUCAUAGCAAAUCACAGAAAAAUGCUAAAAAGGUAAAUCCAACUCUCAAGUGUUUGUUUCAGAGAAUAAAAGCUUAGAAAAAUGGUUUAGAGCCUAGCUUAGACAUUUAAGUUACUGUUUUAGUUUAUUAAUUGAAAUCUACGGGUAGAUUUUUCUUUUUGCAUAAUGAUAAAUCCAGAGAUGAUAAAAAUAUGAAACCACUUGGAAUAAUUCAGGAAUGAGGUGUAGUUCACAGGAAAAUUAUGAGACUUGGUUUGAAAGUUAAUGAAAACCUCUUUCCUUUUUAGAGAAAGAUAAAAAGGAAUAAUAUAUGAAAUGCCUUUCAGACUCUUGGUUUUGCAUGUUGAAUCAUUUGCACCUGCAUUUCAUGUAGAAGUUAACAUCGCCGACGGUACAUACGAGCUGCACCCGACGCUCGAAGAGGAAGCUGUAGCGGAUCUACACCACGCCGAAGUCGAGCCCGUGCCAGAGCAAGCCGAGGACCAGUUCGGUAACUCCGAGUGUGAAGGCAAGCCCCGGAUCAUAAAUUCCUAUGUUUAAAUACUUGCAAUAUAUUGGUUGUUUUGAUUAUGCAUUUACGUUUAUAGGAAUUGAUUGAAACCAUAGAUGCAUGAAUAUAGUGCCCCUUGAUCUGAACACUAGUAUAAGAAGUCGAGUAGUUGCAAUGCUAAAUAGGACUCGGUAAAAGUCGAGUGAUUUCCUGUCACUCGCGAGUUAUAGGAGUUGAAUGAUUUUCUUUUCGUUGCAACUAUAAGGAUGAUGGACGGGGCUGGGCUUAUGUUGGUACUCGGUGGUUUGCCCCGUCUGUCUACUUGAAAUUGGACUAAGGUCGAAAGGUGAUGGUGUUCGUGAUCAAGUGUUUGAAAGUACUAAUCUCAUACCUAGUAUAGGUGGGGAAGCCUAGUACCUGAUUGAACUGGGACGUGGCUUAUACCCCUGCUGUCCUUGGAACGUCGUUCCCAUGGUGCAUCAUGUGGGUGCAAUGGCGGUCAUAGUACGGUAGAGACCGGGACUGUGGAGCAUUGCAUGCCAAAGGAAGUUUGGACCUGACACGUACCUAGGGAUCGAUGGGGACGGCUGACAAGUGAAGCGACCCUUCGUGGUGCGCGGAUGUCGUGGGAUUAGGUUCGCCAUGCAUGGUUAAUAAAUUCGAAUCGAUUCGUCUGCCUCUCACAGUGUGGGACUACUUGAUCGCUAUGCUACACUGAGUAAGAAUGAAAGAUGAUGAUGAUAUAAUAUUGUUACUUGUUAUUAAUUGCUUGGAAAACUAUGCUUGUUUAGUAUAGUUGCUAACUUAGAAUGAUAAACAACAGUAGAACUGGUGGCUAAAAUGUUGAAAGUAAGGACCUACACUAGUCGCUUUUGGCAAAACAAAACCCAGAGCCAAAAAGCUUACAUGUAGUGUUAGUGGAUUAGUACCACAGGUCGGUUAAGUCUUGUUGAGCAUAGUUGCUCAGCCUUGUUUGUGGCACCUCUUUUCAGGUGAGGAUGAUGUUUCUGAGUUCGCUGCUAGUUCUGCUUGGUCUACCCAGCUCCCUCCGGGUUGGACGGUCAAGUGGGAUCCCUCCUCGGACGGCGAGGACAGGGGUCAGUGAUGUCAUGAUCGGCUUCUUCAUGAUAUCGUGCAUCGACGUUUAGUUUCCGUUCGUUUUAUUUCCGCUGCUUGAACACUCUACAAACUAUGUUUGAAUUUCUGAACUUUAUGUUGUAAUAAAUCGAUGCACUUUGUUUAAUCUGGAUGGACUGUUGUAAUCUCUGUAACCACUCACCAUCGUGUGAGUUUUGCUUUCUCGAUCCUGCGUUACGUGGUUUUAUCGGAGGAAAUCCGACGGACGACCAAGUUGACUUGUUUAAAGUACAUGAUCGCGUUUAGGCGACUUAAGUGUGCUUUAGCCAAGUUAAUUUAGGCGGUUCCGCCACAGCUGGUACCAGAGCUUGAAAGCAUGACAGAGAAAACAACAGACUUUAAAUACCUUUUCUAAAAUAAAACUUGCAAGAAAUUAGUUUGAAAAUUCCGUACGAUCGUUAAGGAUGAUCUUAGUACGAGAAGCCCUAGGGGAAUUUUGGGGUUAUUUAAGGUGGCUAUUAGCUAUUGGUUAUUUUACUAACUUCUAGCACUUUCGCCCACGUGUAUUAUACAUGCGCAGAGUUCCGCAUCGCGAGUAUGCGAGAGGUGGUAGGAAGUUCUAUUCAAAAGAACCUAUCAUCGCGGUUGUUUUCGCCCACGUUUAUUAUACGUGCGCAAGGUUCCGUAUGAUGAUUCAUGCGAAGGGUGGUAUGGUUCGAUUCCAACGAGCCUAUCAUCACGGUUGUUCGCCCACGUUUAUGAUACGUGCGCAUGAUUCCGCAUCACGAGUAUGCGAAGGGUUAUAUGGUCCUAUUCAAAGGGGCCUAUUUCCACGGUUGUUGCGCUGUCCAUGCAGCGUUAAACGCAUGGGUGCCAUUUCUAUAGUGAAUGGUAAUGAAUGGGGACGCUUUCGUGAGUGCUGGCAUGAAAGGUUCAUGUGGUAUUGUGUUUUUCUGCAGGUACACUAACCACGUUCGUUUAGGAAAACGAUAUUAGAAACCCGACUAGAUACUAUAGGGAGCGAUGUAAUUGUUGCCUCGCCACCGGCACUAAUCACGUAAGUCCAAUUUUUGGCAAUUAUUUUGGUUGAGAGGAUGAUGUAGGUCGUGCAUGCAUCAUGAACUAAAAUACGUGAAACCGAACCAUUAAAUCGACCUUACUCAUGUGUUUUAAGUUUUUUUUUUCCGCGUUAUGGAUUUUCUAGCUACCCUUUUCAGCAUGGUGUCUUAUCAAAAUCUUUUGGGUUGUUUCCAUGUGUUAUCUACAGAAACUUUAUAUAAGAAAAGUGUGUAAAAACGUUUUAUUAUGCCACUGGUAAAAUUUGGUAAUUUUUCCCAAAGGAUUUGCGAGCAAUGACAAAAAAUUUGUAACUCCUUAUUUCCUGGAAAUACAGUUUGUGCACCUGUUAUAGUCUUCCUGUUUCGACUCCCUUAAGGACAUUUUCUGCUAGGCACUGCUUAAGAAAAGCUGUAGAGCACUGUUUGAAGAACCUUGUGGUAAAUAUUCAGCUUAUUUAUAUCUCUGGUUUGGGAGUUAUGCUCAGUUUAUUGCCACACUGUCCCUGGAAAUUCCAGCAUGUGCCACCUGCCAAAGAUCUGAGUAUAUCACCCUGUUAGGAUCUGUUUUCACUCCACUUAUGAAUACCAAACUUGUUACCAAUUAUCAGAAGGGAAUGUUGGUAAAAUUUGGGAAUUUUUGGAUGAGUACUUGUUGAGUUAUGAGCUUUUUCUCUAGCCUACCAGAAUCUGUUUUUAUCCUGAGUUUUAAUCUCACGUUUCUUUUAUCACUCCUUGGUUCCAGAUGGCCGCUCCUGGGCACGUGAUGCGUGGCACGGAUGGCACCUCCCACUCCACGUGCCUACACUUCGAGGGUUUUCCCGCUAUCUUGUGGGACACCUUGAGGUGGUUUGGGUACCAGUCGCCGCCUCUUUACGCGGGACGCGAGUACCUGGAGCACGGGGUGCAAAGGUGCAGCGUGCGUGUGGUCGUACCUCCACCCCCAGUGCAGCCACAGUGGCCCCAGCUUGAGGUUUCGACAUAUGGUCAUACCCUCGAGGAUACUUGGGAGUCCGCUGCCCUGCAGGCCCUCACUCAGUUCUGCAGACUACACCCUUUCGAGGUCCUUUUGGAUCCGAUUGGCUUGUUCCCCGCUAGGGACAGACUGGACGCAGACUGGCUUGAUAGGGUGAACAACAUGGAGGUGUUGGUCACCUCACACCCGCAGGUCACCCUCUCCACCGCAACGCGUUGUAUGAAUGCGUUGUACCGACUGGUCGAGCUCCAGGGGAGAGCUAUGGCUGUCUUGGCUCGUAUAGCUGUGGACACCCAGGAGCAUCUCAAUACCACCAAGAGAGAUUUGGUGGAACAGUCGUACCAGCUCAUCCAGAGGGGUAUACGGAUCUCUGACAUGGAGACCCGGAUCACCGAGCUAGAGGAGGAGGUGACAGAUAUGGAGCACGAUAUGGUAUUGCUUGCAGAGGAGAAGCUAGAGGUUGAGAUGGAGCUAGCUGUUGCUAAUGCGCACUUGGAUGAGCACCACGCUGAGCUCAAUGCCAUCCAUGCGCAGGAGCAGCAGGGGGAGAAUGACCCGAUGGAGGAGGAGGAGGAGGAGGAGGACCCCGAGGAGAUCGAGGGUGUCUCGAGCAUGGACUUCGAGGGCGUUCAGUCUCCGCCCCGAGUUGGUGACGCCCCUUCUCCGGCGCACAGCGCUUCCUCCGUGGGCAACUUAGAUGACUUCUAGGUUUUUGUUGUAGCGAGUUGGUCUUCUGUUGUUACUCCUCGGCAACCUAUAUUUUGGAUGGCGAUGUAAUAGGUUAGCCUCGAGUUGAGUACCCUUGCUGCCAUAGACUUGUUAUGUAUGCAUGGACAUGCUUUUGUCAUGACCGGCGAUGUAACCGAAAACUUGGCAGAAAUAUAGUUGUUGUUUGGUCUCAGUUUUAACCCUAUCUCCACUCACUUUUGAACUGAUAUUUAAAUACCAAAGUUGUGCAAAAACUUGUGUUCUAACCGCUCGUAAAAUUUCAGCUCCUUUCGAUCUGUUAAACUCGUGUUAGAAGCCAAAACUUCACCGCUCAGAUUGCUGAAAAACAGCCGGACAACGACUCACUCAGCUCACUUUUCAAUCUCUUUAUCUUAUGUUUUGGUCAGCGAGCGUAAUACAAAAGUUGUGGCAUAUGAAAUGCGCUAACUACUGACCAAAGAUGAGAAACAAUGUGCAUAAAGAAGAAGAGAUAUGCACCUACUCAAUAAAAGGAUCUUAUUGUUGUUUUUCUCAGGAUCCGCAAGAUUUAUGUUUAUGAUCCCGCACAUAAUUUUUCCUUGUUUUUAAGCAAGCUUUCGAAUUAUGUGACUAAUGGAAAGAUACCCUCUUGCAGAUGGUGCGCACUGCACGCUUAAGCUCGAUCCCAAGUGGUAGCGAGGAUAAUCGAGCACCUCCGCCGCCACCGCCUCCCCCGCCUUCGCUAGAGGCGAUCUUGGCUGCACAGACAGAGCUCUUGCGACACAUCGUCCAAGGGCAGCAACACCAGCCUCAGGGAGGAAGGGGUCAUCAGCAGCCCCAGAUUGCUCAUUAUGAGGAUUUCUUAGGGACCCAGCCCCCGCUCUUCCACAAGACUGAGGAUCCUCUCGAUGCUGAUGCAUGGAUUCACAUUCUGGAAUCCAAGUUCGAGCUUCUUACUACGCCUUGCACCGAUGACAACAAGGCACGGUUUGCAGCCCAGCAGCUGCGUGGUUCUGCCCGCCUCUGGUGGGACCACUACCACGCCAUGCUGCCGGCUGACCACAUCGUCAGCUGGGACGAGUUCAAGACCGCUUUCAGAGGCCAUCAUAUCCCUGAGGGCCUAAUGGAGUGCAAGCUCAAUGAGUUCCUGGCUCUCACCCAGGGAAGUCGCGACGUCCUGCAUUACGCACAGACCUUCAACGACCUCUGCCGCUAUGCCAGCUAUCACGCAGAUACGGAUGAGAAGAAGCGGGAUCGGUUCCGCAGGGGCUUGAGUCUCGAACUCAAGGAAAGGCUGAACCCCAUCAAAGUGGAUACCUACAACGAGCUGGUGAAUCUGGCCAUUUCCCAGGAAGACUGCAUGAAGGCCCUCAAGGUCGACCUGAAGCGGAAAGCUCCCAUGAUAUCACCUAGCCCGCCUGCUCGGAAAUUCAGGAUGGUUCCCCCUUCAGCACCUCGCAGGCCCGCGCAGCCUGGGAGAUGGGUUGCUCGCCCUCCACCACCGGCAGCACCUCGUUUCCCCGGUUUCCAGCCGCAGGCGCCUCAGCGCAACCUUCCACCGCCGCCGCGCCCUGCAAAUGGUAACCGCUGCUUCACCUGCGGCAACAUGGGACACUUUGCCAAGGACUGCCCCAGAAACAAGAAUCAACGCCCCGGCCAGAGCAAUGCAAUGGUGAACAAGGGAAAGAAGCCCAAAGUACAAGUUCGUCAUGGCAGGCUAAACUUCACCAAUGUGGCAGAACUCCCAGAAGGCGCACCGGUGAUGACGGGUACAUUCCUUAUUCAUAAUCAACCAGUUUUGAUUUUAUUUGAUUCCGGAGCAUCUCAUAGUUUCAUCGGAAGUAAAACUGGUGCUAGAUGUGGGUUAAGGUUCUGUCACACCAAAGGGUCGUAUAUGAUCUCUACCCCGGGUGGGAAAAUAGCCUCAGAUCAAAUGAACCUCAAUGUACCUAUCAAGUUAGGAAGAACCCUCUUUAAGGAAAAUCUUAUUAUUCUCGGUCUAGAGGGAAUAGAUAUUAUCUUGGGUAUGGAUUGGAUGACUCGACACCGAGUAAUGCUAGAUAUCUCCGCCCGAGCUGUCCACAUAGACUCACCACUGUAUGGCACCUCCACUAUCCACUUACCCCACCGAGAGUGCGUAAACUCCUGUGCUUAUCCUGUGGUUGAAGCCCAACUGGAAGAUAUCCCCAUUGUUUGUGAGUAUCCAGAUGUAUUCCCGGAUGACCUGCCAGGCAUGCCACCUGACAGGGAUAUCGAGUUUGCUAUUGAGUUGCAACCAGGCACGGCACCAAUAUCCAAGAGGCCGUAUCGAAUGCCACCCGCAGAGCUGGCAGAACUGAAAACCCAAUUACAUGAACUAUUGGAAAAGGGUUUCAUUCGCGCAAGUACGUCACCUUGGGGCUGUCCAGCACUGUUUGUGAAGAAGAAGGACGAGAGUCUACGCAUGUGUGUGGACUACCGCCCUCUCAAUGCGGUGACGAUUAAGAAUAAAUAUCCAUUGCCCCGCAUUGAUGUCCUAUUUGAUCAGUUAGCUGGAGCCAGAGUAUUCUCCAAGAUAGACCUUCGUUCAGGCUAUCAUCAGAUCAAGAUCCGACCGUGUGACAUUCCCAAAACGGCUUUCUCCACACGGUAUGGACUCUACGAGUAUCUAGUUAUGUCGUUUGGGCUUACUAAUGCGCCUGCUUAUUUCAUGUAUCUCAUGAAUUCGGUGUUUAUGCCCGAGCUGGACAAAUUCGUCGUGGUAUUCAUUGAUGACAUCCUAGUGUACUCGAAGAAUGAGAAGGAACAUGCCGAGCAUCUUCGCAUUGUUCUUCAACGCUUGAGAGAUCAUCAGCUGUACGCGAAGUUCUCCAAGUGUGAGUUCUGGUUGGAGAAUGUUAAAUUCUUGGGACACACUAUUUCUCGAGAUGGCAUUGCAGUCGACCCCAGCAAAGUGCAAGAGGUCAUGGACUGGAAGCCACCCACUUCGGUUCAUCAAAUCCGAAGCUUUCUUGGUCUAGCAGGCUACUAUCGGCGAUUCAUUCCGGAUUUCUCAAAAAUAGCUAAGCCUAUGACUGAGUUAUUGAAGAAAGGAGUCAAAUUCACAUGGAGUGACAAAUGUGAAGAAGCUUUCCACACCUUGAGAAGACUUUUAACCUCUGCCCCAGUCCUAGCUCAACCUGACACUACUAAGCCGUUUGACGUGUAUUGUGACGCCUCCGGCACUGGACUUGGGUGUGUUCUCAUGCAAGACAACCGAGCCAUUGCCUAUGCCUCACGAGCGUUACGGCCACAUGAGCUGAAUUACCCAACACAUGAUCUUGAAUUGGCAGCCGUGAUUCAUGCCUUGAAGAUGUGGAGACACUAUCUUAUGGGCACUCAUUGCAAUGUCUACACUGAUCACAAGAGCCUCAAGUAUAUCUUUACUCAAGCGGAUCUUAACAUGCGUCAGAGAAGGUGGUUGGAAUUAAUUAAGGAUUAUGAUCUGGAAGUGCAUUAUCACCCCGGCAAAGCAAAUGUAGUUGCCGAUGCUCUCAGUCGCAAGGCCCAUUGCAAUUGUUUGUCAGCAACUAACUUCGCAGAAACCAUAUGUCAUGAGAUGGGAAAACUUAGUUUGGAAAUUAUUUCCCAUGACACCUUAGGUCAUGUUUCCAUUGAAUCUACCUUAGAGGACCAAAUUGGGCUGAUACAAUUAGAAGAUGAGGAAAUAAAGCUAAUUAAGGAGAAAGUUGCACAGAGAAAUGAGGGGUAUAAACAUUUCCGACAAGAUGAGAAGGGAAUAGUGUACUAUGAGAACCAACUUGUUGUCCCAUCUAACCCCGACCUUAGGAAGCAAAUCCUGGAUGAAGCACAUCUCUCCAAGUUCUCGAUUCAUCCUGGCAGCAAUAAGAUGUAUCAUGACCUCCGUCAAACAUUUUGGUGGAGUGGAAUGAAACCGGAAAUUGCACGCUAUGUCUCGGAAUGCGACACGUGUCAACGUAUCAAGGCAAGCCACUUGAAGGUAGCAGGUACCUUGCAACCGCUACCUAUUCCAUCUUGGAAAUGGGAAGAUAUCAGCAUGGAUUUCAUUGUGGGAUUACCCGUUACUUCUCAGCGCCAUGAUUCUAUUUGGGUUAUAGUGGACCGUCUUACCAAGACGGCACAUUUCCUUCCUGUUCACACUACCUACACCGCUCGGAAAUAUGCAGAAUUGUAUCUUGACCGUAUUGUGUCCCUACAUGGUGUGCCGAAGACAAUCAUCUCUGAUCAAGGAUUUCAAUUCAUCGCACGCUUUUGGGAACAACUACAGUCCGCACUUGGCACUAAGCUAAUCCGUAGCUCAACAUAUCACCCUCAGACUGAUGGCCAAACAGAAAGGGUGAAUCAAAUUCUAGAAGACAUGCUACGUGCUUGCGUCAUACAUUAUGACAAGAAUUGGGAUAAAUGUUUGCCAUUAGCAGAAUUUUCCUAUAACAAUAGCUACCAAGCUAGCUUGAAAAUGGCACCAUUUGAAGCCCUAUAUGGUUGAAGGUGUCGAACACCUUUAAAUUGGUCACAAGCAGGAGAAAGACAAACCUACGGGCCUGAUCUAGUAGUUGAAGCCGAAGAGCAAGUUAAAAUAAUUCAGGCAAAUCUUAAAGCCGCCCAAUCACGACAGAAAAGCUAUUUUGACAAAAGGAGAAGGUCCUUACAGUUUGACAUUGGUGAUCAUGUAUACCUCCGAGUCUCACCGACUAAGGGUGUACAACGGUUUAGGAUCAAAGGAAAAUUGGCUCCCCGAUACAUUGGUCCCUAUGAGAUCGUGGAAAUAUGCGGACCAGUCGCAUAUAGAGCUCGCGAUGAAGGCCGGCGCUCGCAAGAACUCAUGACGGAGGGCAGGGCUCAUGCUCUCAGGCAAGGGAGCCCGCAACCGAAGGCAAUGGGUAGGCCGACGAUUUUGGAAGAAGCAGAGGGGCCUGUUCGAGGAACAAGGACAUACGUGUAGCAAACGAGCUAAAAUUUACCUUCUUUGAGCUUAAGUGAAGUCAUUAGAGCUUAAUGGAACCAAUGAACAGCCUUGCACCCAAGUAAAAUGACCCCUUUUGCCCCUCACGAGCUAAACAUGUGUUUAAGCCAUAACUCAAUUUUUUUUCUUAAGAACUUAAAAAUCUACCUAACUAAGAGUUGUAUAACUCACAAAUUCUAACAACUUUUGUAAUUAGCUUUUUGCUUGAAACUGAUCAGAAAAGGGUCAAAAUAUCGAAUUACAAAUCUGGGCCGAAAGGUGCAGAUCAAAUAAAGUCAGAACUUUGGAGCCCUUUUUCUCACAUUUUCGAAUGUAUGCUCAUGACAAACCUUUUAUGAAAGUUUUAGUACUACGAGUCCUUAACAACUUUGAUUUUUGAGCAUAGGCCAAAAUCUGCACAGAAGGUUUUCAAAAACGAGGUCAAACGCAGCUAAAAUGGUCAACACUGUCAAAAAUGGCUGAAGUGUUCAAGUCUGAAAGUUUCGGAUUUUGCCAAACUUUGAAGCGUUUUAUCUUCAAUUCAGCUUCGAAUUUGAAAUCAAGACAAUUACAAGAAUUGAACUUAGAUCCUAGGCCUACAACUUUUGUAAAGGGAGUAGGGGUUGUGCAGUUCAAAAAUCUGGAGAAGAUCGCGCUCGAAGAUUGCCCUAUCGUCCGAUCCCGCAAAUCCCGCACCAGAGCUCACGCCGAGCACGCGUGCGCCGCGCUCCCCUCACCGGCCGCCCCGUGGCACGUGCUCCUCGUCGCUGCCCCGUCGAGUUGCCCCCUGCCGCUGCUCUAUCCGCACGCGCCCUGCGACGCUCUGGCACGCCACCGCCGCCGUGCCCGCCAACGCACGCCCGAGACAAGACGCCACAGCUCCUCGGCCUCGCCUGCAGCGCCCUAAUGGAGCCGUUCACCCGUGCACGCCUGCUUCGCUUGCGGCGCCCGCCUGCAAGCACGCCCGCCAAGUCGCCUCCCCUAUCCGCCAAUGGUGCCCGCCGUGGCCGGUCCACCCCGCAGCAGCGUACUAGCGCCCCAUCCUCCAAACCACCCUCCUCAAGUCUCCUGCCUCCUUUCCAAGCCCCCGUGCCCUCCAACAGAAAGUUCUUGCCCCAAACCGGCAGCUCGAGAGGUUCCCGUUCCCUGACGAAAUCUGGCCAGCUCCCUCCGCCUCUGUCUAAUAGCCCACGCCUAAGGCUCCUCCACUUCCUCAGCCACACCCUCGGACACUCCUCGUCGCCUGCCUUCCACCCCAUCGCCCGGAAUCCCACUUUCCCCAACUCCAGGAACUCCACCCGCCACCCCCACUGCCUCACCGCGGAACACCAUCUUCCAGUCAUCCUCGUCGUCAACCAACCACUCAAACGGAACCACGGUAAGACACUGAUCAUCAUGCUCGCGCUCGAUUUCCUCUGGGGUCAACUUUCCGCGCUCGUUCCCGCUCAUGUCGACGGCGUUCCUCGCCGCCCGCGGAGCCCCUUCUGCGCCGCCGCGAUCCGCGUCUCUGGACCUGCUUCUGGGAGCCGUUGGCCCUGCUUCGCAGCCCCUCCUCGCCCCCAAGCCGCCCCGCUGCCCUCCCCCUACCGCCGCUGGCCCAAUCCCGAACGCCGGCCAAGCGUGUCUGUUUUGCUGUGCUGUGCGUUCUGUUCCAGAGGAAGAAGAAGGCCAGGGGUCUAGUUGCGAGUGGAAAAGAAAGUCAGGGGGUUAUGGGGAAAAUCGUGGGAUUUAUGUUUGAGGUGGGUUUUUGUCCAGGGGUGUAGGCGCAAGAUCCAGGGGCCUCUACGCAUUUAACCCAUAGACUGGAGGGCUAGAUUGGAAGAUUGCCUCGGUUUUCUUUUUUUUUCCUGGAUCUAAAAAGGCUGAAAGUUUAAAAAGGCAUAGAAAAGUGUAGAAAAAUGCUAAAAAUGCAAGAUAAAUUUUGUUAGACUCAAUAUUCUGUUUAGUUUCAUAUAAAAAUAAGUUUACACAUGUCUCUGUUAGAAUUAAUGUUAUAUGAUUUAAUCCUUGUUUAAGCUAGUUUAAAUCAUAGCAAAUCACAGAAAAAUGCUAAAAAGGUAAAUCCAACUCUCAAGUGUUUGUUUCAGAGAAUAAAAGCUUAGAAAAAUGGUUUAGAGCCUAGCUUAGACAUUUAAGUUACUGUUUUAGUUUAUUAAUUGAAAUCUACGGGUAGAUUUUUCUUUUUGCAUAAUGAUAAAUCCAGAGAUGAUAAAAAUAUGAAACCACUUGGAAUAAUUCAGGAAUGAGGUGUAGUUCACAGGAAAAUUAUGAGACUUGGUUUGAAAGUUAAUGAAAACCUCUUUCCUUUUUAGAGAAAGAUAAAAAGGAAUAAUAUAUGAAAUGCCUUUCAGACUCUUGGUUUUGCAUGUUGAAUCAUUUGCACCUGCAUUUCAUGUAGAAGUUAACAUCGCCGACGGUACAUACGAGCUGCACCCGACGCUCGAAGAGGAAGCUGUAGCGGAUCUACACCACGCCGAAGUCGAGCCCGUGCCAGAGCAAGCCAAGGACCAGUUCGGUAACUCCGAGUGUGAAGGCAAGCCCCGGAUCAUAAAUUCCUAUGUUUAAAUACUUGCAAUAUAUUGGUUGUUUUGAUUAUGCAUUUACGUUUAUAGGAAUUGAUUGAAACCAUAGAUGCAUGAAUAUAGUGCCCCUUGAUCUGAACACUAGUAUAAGAAGUCGAGUAGUUGCAAUGCUAAAUAGGACUCGGUAAAAGUCGAGUGAUUUCCUGUCACUCGCGAGUUAUAGGAGUUGAAUGAUUUUCUUUUCGUUGCAACUAUAAGGAUGAUGGACGGGGCUGGGCUUAUGUUGGUACUCGGUGGUUUGCCCCGUCUGUCUACUUGAAAUUGGACUAAGGUCGAAAGGUGAUGGUGUUCGUGAUCAAGUGUUUGAAAGUACUAAUCUCAUACCUAGUAUAGGUGGGGAAGCCUAGUACCUGAUUGAACUGGGACGUGGCUUAUACCCCUGCUGUCCUUGGAACGUCGUUCCCAUGGUGCAUCAUGUGGGUGCAAUGGCGGUCAUAGUACGGUAGAGACCGGGACUGUGGAGCAUUGCAUGCCAAAGGAAGUUUGGACCUGACACGUACCUAGGGAUCGAUGGGGACGGCUGACAAGUGAAGCGACCCUUCGUGGUGCGCGGAUGUCGUGGGAUUAGGUUCGCCAUGCAUGGUUAAUAAAUUCGAAUCGAUUCGUCUGCCUCUCACAGUGUGGGACUACUUGAUCGCUAUGCUACACUGAGUAAGAAUGAAAGAUGAUGAUGAUAUAAUAUUGUUACUUGUUAUUAAUUGCUUGGAAAACUAUGCUUGUUUAGUAUAGUUGCUAACUUAGAAUGAUAAACAACAGUAGAACUGGUGGCUAAAAUGUUGAAAGUAAGGACCUACACUAGUCGCUUUUGGCAAAACAAAACCCAGAGCCAAAAAGCUUACAUGUAGUGUUAGUGGAUUAGUACCACAGGUCGGUUAAGUCUUGUUGAGCAUAGUUGCUCAGCCUUGUUUGUGGCACCUCUUUUCAGGUGAGGAUGAUGUUUCUGAGUUCGCUGCUAGUUCUGCUUGGUCUACCCAGCUCCCUCCGGGUUGGACGGUCAAGUGGGAUCCCUCCUCGGACGGCGAGGACAGGGGUCAGUGAUGUCAUGAUCGGCUUCUUCAUGAUAUCGUGCAUCGACGUUUAGUUUCCGUUCAUUUUAUUUCCGCUGCUUGAACACUCUACAAACUAUGUUUGAAUUUCUGAACUUUAUGUUGUAAUAAAUCGAUGCACUUUGUUUAAUCUGGAUGGACUGUUGUAAUCUCUGUAACCACUCACCAUCGUGUGAGUUUUGCUUUCUCGAUCCUGCGUUACGUGGUUUUAUCGGAGGAAAUCCGACGGACGACCAAGUUGACUUGUUUAAAGUACAUGAUCGCAUUUAGGCGACUUAAGUGUGCUUUAGCCAAGUUAAUUUAGGCGGUUCCGCCACAAUACGGCGCGAGAAGAGCGGCGUUAACUCUCUGGCGGCACAAGGAGAUGCAGGGCGCUCCUGGUCCGCAGGCCCGUGAGGAUGCAGUCUAGCCACACGAGAGGAACGGGCGCAACGAAGGCAUACUACCGAGACGAAAAAUCUCUCCAUCCAUCGCUCGGUCAUCAGUGCAACUGUGUGCAAGCAAGCCAGACAAGCAAGAUGACUACCGCUAUCUACUAGCUUUGAUCGGAGGGCCCGCCUUGACUUGUUGCUUUUGAUCGAGGAGAACGACUUGUGUGAUGCAGUUGCGUGCGAGUCGCUACCGUCAAAGUGUGGCCCUUUCAGAAUUUGCUAGAUUCUAGGGACCAGCGGUGGAGCAUAACGACCAUCAAAAGGAGGCUCCUGACCUGCCGCAACAGCAUCUUCAUGACAUCUUCGCAAAUAACGAAGCAUUUCUUUCUCCAAUAUGCUCAUUUUCUUCGGCUUAUUGUGAGAGCCAACUAUUGUUUUCCCCUUGCCACGAGAGGAACGACAAUCUCCCCCACCAUCGCCACUACCUCCAGCAGCAAUAGCUAUCUUUAUGUACCACAAUUUAUUUAGCUCAUAUUUGCAAAUAACUAAACUAUUAAAAAAUUAUAUAUUUCCCACAUAAUUUAUUUAGAACUAAUUACGUACCUCUAUUUGAAAAGUACUAAACUAUGAAAUUACACCUACAAUUUAUUUACCUUAAUUUUAUGGCUAAUUUCUAAAUAUUAAAAACACAUUUACUCUAAUUUUUUCCUAAUACAUAAAUUUGAAAUCCUCUCCAUUCUACCUCACAUUUACUCUCCAUUCUCCCUCACAUUCAAACUAUCCAUCACAUUGUAGCUCAAAAACAUGUAUAAAUACAAAUCCUCUCCAUUCUCCCUCUUUCUAACAAUCAAACUCAUUUUUCUCCCCCUCCUCUAAAGUAUAAAACAAAGCAUAACAACAAUAAAUAAACAAAUAAUGAAGUAGCUAACCUUCACAACACUUUGGAUGAGUGAAGUCCCCACGGAAAUAAGGAAAAAAUAUUCAGCAGCACCUCCCCUAGGCUUGCUUCAGCGCCAUGGAGAGGAUGAGCUUCUCUGUCUUUGUGGAGUGAAGUGGCUCGGGCUGGACGAGUGGAGGAGGAAGAAAGGCCUCUAUUCUGCAGCUUUA
This 20860-nucleotide long non-coding RNA is filed under the name Setaria italica (foxtail millet). Its description in RNAcentral is "long non-coding RNA (SITA_LNC000819)". The record is from RNAcentral. Lineage: Eukaryota; Viridiplantae; Streptophyta; Magnoliopsida; Poales; Poaceae.